CCUACGGGAGGCAGCAGUAGGGAAUCUUCCACAAUGGGCGAAAGCCUGAUGGAGCAACGCCGCGUGGGUGAAGAAGGUCUUCGGAUCGUAAAACCCUGUUGUUAGAGAAGAAAGUGCGUGAGAGUAACUGUUCACGUUUCGACGGUAUCUAACCAGAAAGCCACGGCUAACUACGUGCCAGCAGCCGCGGUAAUACGUAGGUGGCAAGCGUUAUCCGGAUUUUUUGGGCGUAAAGGGAAUGCAGGCUGUCUUUUAAGUCUGAUGUGAAAGCCUUCGGCUUAACCGGAGUAGUGCAUUGGAAACUGGGAGACUUGAGUGCAGAAGAGGAGAGUGGAACUCCAUGUGUAGCGGUGAAAUGCGUAGAUAUAUGGAAGAACACCAGUGGCGAAAGCGGCUCUCUGGUCUGUAACUGACGCUGAGGUUCGAAAGCGUGGGUAGCAAACAGGAUUAGAUACCCCAGUAGUC
This 465-nucleotide ribosomal RNA is filed under the name uncultured bacterium. RNAcentral describes it as "partial 16S ribosomal RNA". It matches the Rfam family "Bacterial small subunit ribosomal RNA", at positions 338 to 795 of the family's 1533-position model. The record is from RNAcentral.